This 279-nucleotide ribosomal RNA is filed under the name uncultured bacterium. RNAcentral describes it as "partial 16S ribosomal RNA". It matches the Rfam family "Bacterial small subunit ribosomal RNA", at positions 506 to 784 of the family's 1533-position model. The record is from RNAcentral.
UGCCAGCAGCCGCGGUAAUACGGAGGGCGCAAGCGUUAUUCGGAAUUAUUGGGCGUAAAGAGCGCGCAGGCGGCCAGGUCAGUCGAAUGUGAAAGCCCCCGGCUCAACCGGGGAAGGUCGUUCGAUACUGCUUGGCUUGAAGAUGGGAGAGGGAAGUGGAAUUUCAGGUGUAGUGGUGAAAUGCGUAGAUAUCUGAAGGAACACCAGUGGCGAAGGCGACUUUCUGGCCCAUUCUUGACGCUGAGGCGCGAAAGCUAGGGGAGCGAACGGGAUUAGAUA